Molecule: non-coding RNA, 293 nt
Organism: Otolemur garnettii (small-eared galago)
Lineage: Eukaryota; Metazoa; Chordata; Mammalia; Primates; Galagidae
Source: Rfam
GCCAGGCAUUGUGGCGGAUGCCUGUAGUCCCAGCUACUCAGGAGGCUGAGGCAAGAGAAUCACUUAAGCCCAAGAGUUUGAGGUUGCUGUGAGCUGUGACACCAUGGCACUCUACCCAGGGCGACACAGUAAGACUCUGUCUCAAAAAAAAAAAAAAAAAUCUGAGGGGGGUUUGGGGAACCACUUUUUUUUUUUUUUAAACAUAGUCACUUGGUCACCCUGGGUAGAGUGCCAUGGUGUCUUAGCUCACAGUAACCUCAAACUCUUGGGUUCAGGUGAUCCUCUUGCCUCAG